AUGUUUCGGCGGUUCAGAAAACAAGAGUGUCUCGAAUCAACUGACCAUACAACAAUACACUUCAAACCGUUCCAUCACAACACCCAUUAUUUUGAACCAAUUCAAAAGGCUUUGGUGGCGCGAAACGAUCGUCAGUUUGCUGUUAGAUAUCUUGACGAACAAAGGCGUAGAUAGAGUCUGUAACUUUUGCAGAUCUGAAUUUUAUGAUGGAAUACAUGUACU
Molecule: long non-coding RNA, 222 nt
Organism: Zea mays
Lineage: Eukaryota; Viridiplantae; Streptophyta; Magnoliopsida; Poales; Poaceae
Exons: 3
Source: RefSeq, a predicted model, not a curated record